CCAAUAGCGUAUCUUAAAGUUGUUGCAGUUAAAAAGCUCGUAGUUGAAUUUCGAGACCGGCUUACUGGUCGUGCUAUUGUACGUACUGGUAUAAUCGGUUUCCCCUUUCUGACGAACUAUAAUGCCAUUAAUUUGGUGUUAUAGGGAAUCGGGACUGUUACUUUGAAAAAAUUAGAGUGUUUAAAGCAGGCUCACGCUUGAGUACAUUAGCAUGGAAUAACGGAAUAGGACGUUUGAUUCUAUUUUGUUGGUUUCUAGGAUCGACGUAAUGAUUAAUAGGGAUAGUUGGGGGCAUUAGUAUUCAAUUGUCAGAGGUGAAAUUCUUGGAUUUAUUGAAGACUAACUACUGCGAAAGCAUUUGCCAAGGAUGUUUUCAUUAAUCAAGAACGAAAGUUAGGGGAUCGAAGACGAUCAGAUACCGUCGUAGUCUUAACCAUAAACUAUGCCGACUAGGGAUCGGAUGAUGUUAAUUUUUUAAUGACUCAUUCGGCGCCUUACG
Molecule: ribosomal RNA, 499 nt
Filed under: uncultured Glomeromycotina
Lineage: Eukaryota; Fungi; Glomeromycota
Description: partial small subunit ribosomal RNA
Rfam family: Eukaryotic small subunit ribosomal RNA
Source: RNAcentral